AAAUUGAAGAGUUUGAUCAUGGCUCAGAUUGAACGCUGGCGGCAGGCCUAACACAUGCAAGUCGAACGGUAACAGGAAACAGCUUGCUGUUUCGCUGACGAGUGGCGGACGGGUGAGUAAUGUCUGGGAAACUGCCUGAUGGAGGGGGAUAACUACUGGAAACGGUAGCUAAUACCGCAUAAUGUCGCAAGACCAAAGAGGGGGACCUUCUGGCCUCUUGCCAUCGGAUGUGCCCAGAUGGGAUUAGCUUGUUGGUGGGGUAACGGCUCACC
RNAcentral lists this ribosomal RNA (272 nucleotides) under Escherichia coli. RNAcentral's name for it is "partial 16S ribosomal RNA". It matches the Rfam family "Bacterial small subunit ribosomal RNA", at positions 1 to 269 of the family's 1533-position model. Lineage: Bacteria; Pseudomonadati; Pseudomonadota; Gammaproteobacteria; Enterobacterales; Enterobacteriaceae. The record is from RNAcentral.